UGCUGAUUUGGCCGUGGGGUUUUAAGCCCUGGAGCGCGGCCAUGGCCGUCUCGAUCGUCUCGGUCCAAUGCUGGAGCGUUCCAUUCGAGGCGAGCGGCGGCAUUGCGGCAUCGGCGCCAUGGAAUUCCAAGGUAAGCGCCGGAUUCCAGCAGGCAUUCUUCCCGGUUCUUGCCAGAGUCCACACCAAGGAAGCAAUCCAGCUCGACUACCUGGCCGAUCAGAACGCGGCGAGGAAAUACACGCCGGCGUGGAGCGAUCACGGCAGCAGGAAGAGCUUUGUGGAGCUGAGCGGGGAUUUCUCGUCCGAGGGAGGCGAUUGCAUCGAUUCGCUAACGCAGCUUCACAAGCAUCUGGAGCAGGAGCCGGCGAUGCACAGCCCGCUGGAGAAGAGCGAUAUGAAGAGGCUGAAUGAGAUUCUCAACGAGAAGCCCAAGAAGGGAAUGCUGGCUCUCCGGGAGAAGUUUGCGAAGCUGGGAAUGAGCUAUAACGUUGAUCCAGAGAAGCUCAUAUCCGGGGAGUAUAUAGUUCACAAGAAGGUUGGAAUUGGCCAGUUUGUGAGCCUCAAGGAGGAAGUUCCAGAGGGUGGAAAAUCGCCACAAAAGUACGUCUAUCUUCGAUAUGCUGAUGGUAUGGCUAAGCUUCCCGCGAAGCAAGCUCGGCGACUUCUCUACAGAUACUUCAGGCCUGGUGAAUCGGUGAAAAGAUAUCCAGCUCUCAGCAAGCUAAAUGAUCGAAGCCAGUGGGAGAAACGAAGGACUGAAGGAAGCUUGGACGCUCAGAGGCGGGUCGUGAAGAUGAUCGAUGUUUAUAUCCGUCGUUUGAAGCAGAAGAGACCCGUGUAUUCGAAGGACGUUCCUGCGAUGAGCAAGUUCGCUGGGAAAUUCCCGUACACGCCAACACCGGAUCAGAUCAAGGCAUUUUUAGAUGUUGAGCGAGACUUGACCGACGCGGAAACGCCAAUGGACAGGCUUAUUUGUGGGGAUGUUGGUUUUGGAAAGACUGAAGUUGCUAUGCGUGCAAUAUUCUACGCAGUCUCCGCAAAGAAGCAAGUCAUGGUUUUGGCUCCGACGACCGUACUUGCUAAGCAGCACCAUGAGAGCAUUAAGGAGCGUUUUGCAAAUUUUCCAGACAUUAAAGUGGCUCUUCUCAGCCGAUUUCAGAACAACGUAGAUAGGAGAGCGGUUAUUGCGGGAAUCAACGAUGGGGUUGUAAACAUUGCUGUUGGAACUCACUCUCUUCUUGGCAACAAUAUACAGUACGAAAACGUUGGACUUUUGGUUGUCGAUGAGGAACAGAGAUUUGGUGUUGCUCAAAAAGAGAAGAUUUCAACGCUGAAGACGACAGUAGACAUAUUGACUCUGUCCGCGACGCCGAUUCCUAGGACACUACACAUGGCAUUAAGUGGCUUUCGAGAUGCAAGCUUGAUGACAACACCACCACCGGAAAGGCGGCCCAUAAAGACACAUGUAUGCGUCUACUCUCAGGACAUGGUGAAAGAUGCCAUCAAGGCUGAACUGGAUCGACGAGGCCAAGUCUUCUAUGUUGUACCCAGGAUUCAAGAUAUGGAGUCCACCGAAAAGAAACUCAAAUUGCUGGUUCCUGGAGUACAAGUAUCCAUUGCGCAUGGCAAGAAAUGUGCAACUGAGCUGGAGGCAACAAUGACCAAGUUUACUGAAAAGGGGACGAGCAUACUCUUAUGCACCAACAUUAUUGAAAGUGGGCUGGACAUUCCAACUGUAAAUACAAUUAUCGUGGAGAAUGUACAGAUGUUCGGACUUGCACAGAUAUAUCAGCUUCGCGGACGGGUUGGGAGAGCAGACAAGGUAGCGCAUGCCUAUAUGCUGCAUCCACCCAAGGAUUUUCUUAGUUCCGAUGCACUGGAAAGAUUGAGUGCACUCGAGGACUGUUGUGCACUAGGCCAAGGUUUCCAGCUUGCUGAAAGAGACAUGGCCAUUAGAGGUAUUGGAAGCAUUUUUGGCGAGAAACAGAGCGGGGAAUUCAGCAAAGUUGGAGUCGACUUGUACGCAGAAAUGCUUUUUGAAGCAAUAUCGAAGGCGCAAUACCAUAGUCUUCCUCAACUAGAGUACGAAGAUGUGCAGCUUGCAAUGGAGUCGAACUGUCAAGUCUGUAGCUUGAGUAGCAUGCAGUGGGAAGCAGUCACUGAUUCAGCUGAGGAAGCGGCGAAAAAAGGUAUCAAAGAUCUUGUUCGUUUUACGGAGAAACUGCGCAGUGAAAGAGGAAAGGAACCACCACCUCUAGAGGCUCUUCUAAAGACCAUUUAUGCGAAGAGAAUGGCAGCAGAUUUGGGAAUUCAUCACAUUCAAACGAGAGGGAAACAAAUAACAAUGCUCACGAACAUGAACGCCGACGCAUUUCAAGUCCUACAUUGUUCCAUGGCCUCCCCACCUUUAAAGUCCUCGCUUAGCUUUUCCAAUGGGAGAUUGGAGCUACACAGUCUAGUAGAGCUUCCCUCGGAGUUUCAGCUGGAAAGGUUGUUUCAAUGUCUAGCUGAACUCCGGCGUGGGUUGGCGUCCUUCCUUACAUACAGAUGAGAACUUAACAAUAAUAGAGGCAAUUGUAUAGCGAGAGCACCCGAGGCCCGUUCUCAUGGUUACGAAAUCCUCGCAACAAUUAUAGCAGUGCCAGGAACCACCAGUGAAUGCGCCUGAAUAGACUACUACCAGAGGAUUUACAACUUCAAAGCCAAGAAAUAUCAGAUCAGUCAGUAAUGUGCGUGAGAGGAGCUGCGAGAAGGGAAUGUUCGGUUAACUUGGACUGCUUUCAUACACAGGUCCCAACUAGAAGAAUCCGUUGUUAAUUCCGUUCUAAUAUCUAUCGAGCUUAACCAGGACAUCGUUUCUCGAGGAGAUAAAGCUACUGCUACGUAGAAACAGGGUGCAUACAUGGAAAGGACGGAACGGUAAAAGAAAGGAAGGAAACAAGCAAAGCAAAGCUCUUCCAGGAGUCAGAAAGAACAGGUUUCCAAGUACUACUCUACUGCUGCUAACACCCAUAAAAGCCGUCUUCUUUCGUUGUCGACGAACAGGGAAACAACCUGUUCGAGGAGCAACCUUCGCAGUGCACGGUCGACAGUACGUCGGGCGAUGCGAGUACCAAAAGUCUAUUUUUUUGAAUGCGGGCAAGAAUUAUGUGUGCAGUGCCACCCAAGCUCCUCUCGCCUCUAUGAUAGACCUUUGGCUCUCUCUGGCAGCUACACUACAUACCCCAGGUUCUGGAUUCUAACACUUCGAUUUGAUAAACCACUUAACUUCAUCACGGGUUUUGCAUUGAAACUCUCUCACUCGUCGCAACUCAUGUAACAGCGCAAAUUCCCGUCGCUCGACCAGCGACGACAGCAGCAGCAGCAGUAGAAAAAAGUGAUCGCUAAGCCCAAGGAUUUUGGAAGCCGAGAUGAAAGGAAGAGCCAUGAGAGUUAGUGUUCCGUGGCAGGAGCUUGGCAGCGUUCCCAUGCGUCCAGUCGAGGGAGCUUUUCUUUUUUCUUUGAAUGGGGUCAACCUGACACUCACAGACCGUGACUCGAAACAAAAAUUCGCGUUUCCCGAGAGCUCGGGCUCCACCUCGGACUCCACAUCGGACACCCGAGAUGGGAAUAUUCGAAAGCGGCAUGUGAAAGAUACCAAGGCAUGGAAUA
Molecule: RNA transcript, 3652 nt
Organism: Selaginella moellendorffii
Lineage: Eukaryota; Viridiplantae; Streptophyta; Lycopodiopsida; Selaginellales; Selaginellaceae
Gene name: ATP-dependent DNA helicase At3g02060, chloroplastic
Exons: 16
Source: RefSeq, a predicted model, not a curated record